UAAGUGAAGAGUUUGAUCCUGGCUCAGAGUGAACGCUGGCGGUAGGCCUAACACAUGCAAGUCGAACGGCAGCACAGGAG
This 80-nucleotide ribosomal RNA is filed under the name Stenotrophomonas maltophilia. RNAcentral describes it as "partial 16S ribosomal RNA". It matches the Rfam family "Bacterial small subunit ribosomal RNA", at positions 1 to 80 of the family's 1533-position model. The record is from RNAcentral. Lineage: Bacteria; Pseudomonadati; Pseudomonadota; Gammaproteobacteria; Lysobacterales; Lysobacteraceae. RNAcentral also lists the same sequence under 1 other name.